Nannospalax galili (Upper Galilee mountains blind mole rat) is the source of this 1189-nucleotide RNA transcript. It is a transcript of the gene named chromatin accessibility complex subunit 1, with no coding region annotated. The record is from RefSeq and is a predicted model, not a curated record. NCBI's taxonomy places the organism in Eukaryota, Metazoa, Chordata, Mammalia, Rodentia, Spalacidae. The transcript is spliced from 2 exons.
AAUAGAAUCUCGGUUUAAUGGUCAUUUACGGCUUUUGAACAAAGGGGUUUGUGCGGCCGAGGGCCCAGGGGCGCAGCGGGGGCAUGAUGAGCUGGGAUAGCCUCGAGCGCCAACACCCCUGCAGGGUACCACGCGGCGCAGCGUCUGCGCAGGCGCGGGUACGCGGGGCAUCAUGGGCCGCGGAGACCCGGAAGAUGGCGGAUGCGGCCGUGGGGAAAGACAAGUGCGGGGAGCAACGGCUCGUGUCGCUACCCCUCUCCCGCAUCCGCGUGAUCAUGAAGAGCUCCCCCGAAGUGUCAAGCAUCAACCAGGAGGCGCUGGUACUCACGGCCAAGGCCACGGUGAGCGGCGGGCAUGGCGGCGUGAGCGGAGGGCGCGGACCCCAAGGGCUCCACCGCACGCCCGGCCUUUCGGCUGCCCAGCGGGGCCGCGCGCCUUCUUCUUCCCCUUCUGCGCCUGCGCGGCCUUGGCCCCGCCCACCCGCUCGCUUCCGUUGUCCUCUGCUCUGCUUUCGCCCCGCCCAUCCUCUCACCCAGUCCCGGCGUUCCCUGCGCUACUACCGCCUCUCACGCCCCGCGUACCGCGUCAGUCCCGCGGUGACCCGUUAGCAGAGCGCCCAGUGUGGCUCCGUGUGCAGGGUGUUCCGCGUGCGGGCAGCUCCACGUGCCUUCCGCCCCUCUACCCGCGUAGUAGUGCGGGCUUUGCGAAGCUUCCACGCCACUGAGUCGACCUGUACCCGAAGCUCAGGCUGUGCUUACUGUCAGCCCUGGGUUCUGUGGGGUUGACUAAGUCUCGAGCAUCCCGUGGGUGCUGUGUGCAUAGACUGGGCCUCGUCCAGCUUGUGCGUGGCCCUGGGGCCCGUGGUCUCCGUUCUGUUUCCUCUCCUUGGCCCUGGGACAGCCCUGCAGGGGCUUCUCUGAGCUGACCUCGGUCCGGGGGUUGGGAAGGGUCCCAGCUUGGGGUUUGGGCCACGUAGGGCGUCACCUUCUGCUCUGGAAUGACGAUUUUUACUGAGCAGCCUUCAAACGAGGCAUUCCAGGAGACAAAGUGUUCCUGACACAGGAACUCUUUGUGCGGCAUCUGGCCACCAGUUCCUACAGACACGGCAGUGGGAGAGCAAAGAGAGCCCUGACCUACAGCGACGUAGCCAGCACUGCGCAGGAGGCCGAAACCUUUCAGUUUCUUGCAG